Molecule: ribosomal RNA, 529 nt
Filed under: uncultured eukaryote
Lineage: Eukaryota
Description: bacterial SSU rRNA
Rfam family: Eukaryotic small subunit ribosomal RNA
Source: RNAcentral
CUCCAAGAGCAUAUAUUAACGCUGUUGCUGUAAAGGGUUCGUAGUUGAACUGCAGAACGCGACGCCGAGGUCAAGUCCUUUUCCCACGGUCUAGGAAGCCUCGAUCGCGUUCGGAGAACGUCAGAAACUAAGAUCACGGGAGCGUUUUCAGCCGCCAACCACGCGAGCAAUGCCCGCAGGCGGACGUCCGUGUUCAUUACUGUGACUAAAGAAGUGCGACCAAAGCAGUCCAUCGACAUGAAUUAGAAAGCAUGGGAUAACAAAGGAGCAGCCUAUGGGCUACCGUUUCGGCUUUUGUUGGUUUUAAAAGUUCGUGGGAGAUUACGGGCGGGCAGGACCGGCGUCGUGGAGCCUCGUGUUCCCGCGCUUCCCCCUUGUGCCGGAUCCCGGUGCUUGCGGGGCCUGCCUUGCUCAGGAAUGAAGGAGGGUUGCUCGGGGGAGAACGUACUUGAGCGUGAGAGGUGAAAUUCUUAGACCGCUCAAAGACGAACUACAGCGAAGGCAUUCUCCAAGGAUACCUUCCUCAAUC